This 73-nucleotide transfer RNA is filed under the name Dipodomys ordii (Ord's kangaroo rat). It matches the Rfam family "tRNA". From Rfam's summary of the family: Transfer RNA (tRNA) molecules are approximately 80 nucleotides in length. Lineage: Eukaryota; Metazoa; Chordata; Mammalia; Rodentia; Heteromyidae. The record is from Rfam by way of RNAcentral.
AGAAGCAUGGCUCAAUUGUAGAGUGCCAGCCUAGUAAGCAGCAAGACUCUGAGUUCAAACCCCAAUACUACUA